Molecule: long non-coding RNA, 1209 nt
Organism: Leopardus geoffroyi (Geoffroy's cat)
Lineage: Eukaryota; Metazoa; Chordata; Mammalia; Carnivora; Felidae
Exons: 5
Source: RefSeq, a predicted model, not a curated record
UGCCACCGAGGUUGAUAAAUUUGUUCACUCUUUUUUACAGUUUCCUCUACUGAGGUCACGUUGGCAGCUGUUUCCCUAUUUAGGAACUUAAAUGCAGUCCUCCGGUGGGUAUCCUGGGAAGCUAUUCUGUGCAGCACCACGCCGCCACCGGUGACUCCUCUUCCUCCCUCCACCUGCUCUGUGCUCUACAGACAACAGUUAGUCCCUGACUGCUUCCGGCCCCAGGUAGGCCUGCCUUUCAGUUCACCGGAGCUCUCCUGCCGGGAGUCAACGGACAAACACCUCAUUCCCUCCUCGCUGGGAACUGGAUGCAAAUAUGGGCAGGUGUGAACCCUAGAUGUGAAUUUGAGCCCGUUGGAAGGUACGUUUCUAAGGCGCAAGCCCAUUCUGAAGGAUCGCCCAGGACACGUCUUCCCUGGAGACCCCCACGGUAGCAGACACUUGCCUCCUGAAGGGUUGAAGACAGCGGAGCAAGGCACCGGGAUCAGAAUCCAAAUCCUGUCUGGGACAGUAUUCUCUUCUGGAGAGAUAUGGAAUCUCAUCUUUUUAGAAAAAGGAAAAAAAAAAUGGCUGUCCACUUUGUUGCUUCACUUAUCCCACCAACCAACACAGUUGGACAUCCUCUGAAGUUAUCGUUGAGCUCGCUGUCCGAUCCUUUCCUCACAUAGCUACAAGAGUCAUCCUUUCACAUUGGAGCUCCUAUCAGCACAUAUCUCUGGCCAAGUCUUCAAGGGCGCCACAUGCUUUGGGGCAAAGCUCAAAUUCCUCAGCGUCAUCUAAAGUGCCCUUCGUGAGAUGGCCCCUGCUUACUGUCUGGCCCCUGUUGGGAGAGGCAGCCCGCAUGGGGGCCGAGUGUCUCUGCACACCCUUACCAAGCAGGCCAGACUGCAAGAAUUGCCCUCUCCUGACACUGAGCAGUUUCUGCAGCCAGUCACAUAGGGACCCAAGGAGAUCCAGGUGAUGACAGCAUGGUCACUGUGUUUCUGCUUGCUCCCUUGGAGCGGGGGACUUGAGAGCUGCUUGCUUCAAAAGGGCUGUGCCUUUGGGUCUGGGUUCCUCAGCUUCAGAGCAAACCUACUGAAUGUGUAGCAUGCAUCCGGGUCCAUCACAUGACUUCUGUGUCAUCUGGGGGAAAAAGGAGACCAGUGCAAAUAUGCUGAAGAUAAAGCUGCUUGCUACCCCGUUAAUAAUAUAGUACUUUGUCUCUGA